This 1088-nucleotide long non-coding RNA is filed under the name Sus scrofa (pig). RNAcentral describes it as "lncRNA (ENSSSCG00015070939.1)". The record is from RNAcentral. Lineage: Eukaryota; Metazoa; Chordata; Mammalia; Artiodactyla; Suidae.
GCCCCAUGUGCCACGCUCUAAGUCGGAGGCUGUGUCCUCAGGUGACAUUGUCUGCAGGGGGAUCUGAGCCCGAUGUGGCCACCAGGGCCGUUUCCUCACCUCCAUAACCCUCCUUAAGAUGCUCCAGAAAUAAGAUUGGUUUUUUGUUUGUUUCUUUGUUUUGUCUUUUAGGGCCGCAUACAUGGCAUCUGGAUGUUCCCAGGCUAGGGGGGUCUAAUCAGAGCCGCAGCUGCCGGCCUACACCACCGUUCAUGGCACCACCGGAUCCUUAACCCACUGAUUGAGACCAGGGAUUGAACCUGCAUCCUCACGGAUAUUAGUCAGAUUCAUUUCCUCUGAGCCACAAUGGGAACUCCCCAGAAAUAAGGUUCCUAAAGUCACCUGGUUGGAUAGCAGAAGAUCAGACCUCUUAAAUCCGGGGUAACGGUUUUUGAAAUAAGAUGGACAUCACCAUAAAGGGAACUUGAGUAAUGGUGCAGCCCUGCACAGUCCAGGAGGCCUGAGUUUGGGGGCUGUUUCUAUGCUGCAGACUUUUAGUGGGGCCUCCCACGCAGACGCCUGGCCCCCAGCCCUGGCCUCUCCCUCCAUCGGUCAGCCCUUCGGAGCUGCAGUUCCUCCAGAUAGAACCAGCGGGAGGCUCUGUCUGGACCAGAGCUUCCUGACCAUCCACACCCUGGAGGAGAAAACCACCAAUGGGACUGACCGCUUGGAACUCUGUUCUAACUGCACACAGCUGGGCUGGCACCAACCAGAGCCCGCUCUCCCUCUGCCACCCAGCGGAGAAGAAGUGGGAGGGCUGGUGGUCCAAGGCCACGAGGCUCCACUCAGAAGCUUUAGGGGAGGAGUUCCCGUCGUGGCGCAGUGGUUAACGAAUCCGACUAGGAACCAUGAGGUUGCAGGUUCGGUCCCUGCCCUUGCUUAGUGGGUUAAUGAUCCAGCGUUGCCGUGAGCUGUGGUGUAGGUUGCAGAUGCGGCUCGGAUCCCGCGUUGCUGUGGCUCUGGCGUAGGCCGGUGGCUACAGCUCCGAUUAGACCCCUAGCCUGGGAACCUCCAUAUGCCGCGGCAGCGGCCCAAAGAAAUAGCAAAAA